AGAGUUUGAUCCUGGCUCAGGAUGAACGCUAGCUACAGGCUUAACACAUGCAGGUCGAGGGGCAGCAUUUCAGUUUGCUUGCAAACUGGAGAUGGCGACCGGCGCACGGGUGAGUAACACGUAUCCAACCUGCCGAUAACUCGGGGAUAGCCUUUCGAAAGAAAGAUUAAUACCCGAUGGCAUAAUUAGACCGCAUGGUCUUAUUAUUAAAGAAUUUCGGUUAUCGAUGGGGAUGCGUUCCAUUAGGCAGUUGGUGAGGUAACGGCUCACCAAACCUUCGAUGGAUAGGGGUUCUGAGAGGAAGGUCCCCCACAUUGGAACUGAGACACGGUCCAAACUCCUACGGGAGGCAGCAGUGAGGAAUAUUGGUCAAUGGACGCGAGUCUGAACCAGCCAAGUAGCGUGAAGGAUGACUGCCCUAUGGGUUGUAAACUUCUUUUAUAUGGGAAUAAAGUUUUCCACGUGUGGAAUUUUGUAUGUACCAUAUGAAUAAGGAUCGGCUAACUCCGUGCCAGCAGCCGCGGUAAUACGGAGGAUCCGAGCGUUAUCCGGAUUUAUUGGGUUUAAAGGGAGCGUAGGUGGACAGUUAAGUCAGUUGUGAAAGUUUGCGGCUCAACCGUAAAAUUGCAGUUGAUACUGGCUGUCUUGAGUACAGUAGAGGUGGGCGGAAUUCGUGGUGUAGCGGUGAAAUGCUUAGAUAUCACGAAGAACUCCGAUUGCGAAGGCAGCUCACUGGACUGCAACUGACACUGAUGCUCGAAAGUGUGGGUAUCAAACAGGAUUAGAUACCCUGGUAGUCCACACAGUAAACGAUGAAUACUCGCUGUUUGCGAUAUACAGUAAGCGGCCAAGCGAAAGCAUUAAGUAUUCCACCUGGGGAGUACGCCGGCAACGGUGAAACUCAAAGGAAUUGACGGGGGCCCGCACAAGCGGAGGAACAUGUGGUUUAAUUCGAUGAUACGCGAGGAACCUUACCCGGGCUUAAAUUGCAUUUGAAUAAUCUGGAAACAGGUUAGCCGCAAGGCAAAUGUGAAGGUGCUGCAUGGUUGUCGUCAGCUCGUGCCGUGAGGUGUCGGCUUAAGUGCCAUGACGAGCGCAACCCUUAUCUUUAGUUACUAACAGGUCAUGCUGAGGACUCUAGAGAGACUGCCGUCGUAAGAUGUGAGGAAGGUGGGGAUGACGUCAAAUCAGCACGGCCCUUACGUCCGGGGCUACACACGUGUUACAAUGGGGGGUACAGAAGGCAGCUACCUGGUGACAGGAUGCUAAUCCCAAAAGCCUCUCUCAGUUCGGAUCGAAGUCUGCAACCCGACUUCGUGAAGCUGGAUUCGCUAGUAAUCGCGCAUCAGCCAUGGCGCGGUGAAUACGUUCCCGGGCCUUGUACACACCGCCCGUCAAGCCAUGAAAGCCGGGGGUACCUGAAGUACGUAACCGCAAGGAGCGUCCUAGGGUAAAACUGGUAAUUGGGGCUAAGUCGUAACAAGGUAGCCG
This 1491-nucleotide ribosomal RNA is filed under the name uncultured bacterium. RNAcentral describes it as "16S ribosomal RNA". It matches the Rfam family "Bacterial small subunit ribosomal RNA". The record is from RNAcentral.